CCCUUAGAUGUUCUGGGCUGCACGCGCGCUACACUGAUGCAUCCAGCGAGUUGACCAAGCAAGGUUACAACCUUGCUUGGUAAAGUUUGGUAAUCUGAGCCUAAUGUGCAUCGUGAUGGGAAUAGAGUUUUGCAACUAUUAGUCUUGAACGAGGAAUUCCUCGUAAGCACGAGUCAUCAGCUUGUGCUGAUUACGUCCCUGCCCUUUGUACACACCGCCCGUCGCUCCUACCGAUUGGGUGCUCCGGUGAAUUGUUUGGACUGCUGUCAGUCUUUUAGGCUGUUGGCGAGAAGCUCUGUGAACCUUAGCACCUAGAGGAAGGAGAAGUCGUAACA
This 335-nucleotide ribosomal RNA is filed under the name uncultured eukaryote. RNAcentral describes it as "partial 18S ribosomal RNA". It matches the Rfam family "Eukaryotic small subunit ribosomal RNA", at positions 1470 to 1796 of the family's 1831-position model. The record is from RNAcentral.